AACAAAAUAGUUUAUUCAGUUAAACUGACGAACAGACUGACGAACGUACCUAACAACAUUUACAAAUUAAAUACAGUAAUAAUAUCAAAAGACUUCAUUAUAUCAAGUCGUGUAUGAACAAAUAUUUUAAAACUAAUUCGAACCUUAGUUGAUUACAGUAGUAUUUGUACUUAUAUAAUAAUAUUACUGUGAAAAUAUUUGUGUUUGUGAUGUUUAUUAUACAGCCCGAUACAUUUUAAAAGACUGCAGUCGACUAGCUAAAUAAUUUGUCUGAAAUCGCAUAAAAAUGAUUGAAAAGCAAUCAAAUAACUGCAGUCUGAUAAAAAAUGAUACCCAAGGCACAGUACACUUUCUCUGUUGAUUUCAGUAUAGUUUAAUAAUAAAGACAAUGGGUGUCGAAUAUUUUUAUUUUUAUGAUAGGAUUUUUAAUUUCACAAAAAUUUCGUUAACAGAUUGUUCACAUUUUUUGAAUGCUAUAAACACAGCAGGGUUGUGAAUAAUUUAAACCGUUAAAAGCCAUU
This is a non-coding RNA of Cinara cedri, 521 nucleotides long. NCBI's taxonomy places the organism in Eukaryota, Metazoa, Arthropoda, Insecta, Hemiptera, Aphididae. The record is from the annotation of a GenBank genome assembly.